UUCCGGUCCUGUGAGUUAAAAGGGAAUCCAGUGUGAAUCUGGAGCUGACGCGCAGCGGUAAGGAAAGGUGAAAUGAGAGCGUAAAGCAGACACUGCCUGUGGGUGGGAAGUCUUCAUUUCUUUUUAUUCGGUAUCCUGAAUAACCUUCCAAGCCCGAAGACCUGCCGGCUAAC
Molecule: non-coding RNA, 173 nt
Filed under: Citrobacter youngae
Lineage: Bacteria; Pseudomonadati; Pseudomonadota; Gammaproteobacteria; Enterobacterales; Enterobacteriaceae
Source: RNAcentral